This 477-nucleotide long non-coding RNA is filed under the name Mytilus galloprovincialis (Mediterranean mussel). The record is from RNAcentral. Lineage: Eukaryota; Metazoa; Mollusca; Bivalvia; Mytilida; Mytilidae.
CUUUUUAUACGACCGCAAAAAUUUUAAUUUUUUGGUCGUAUAUUGCUAUCACGUUGGUGUCGUCGUCGUCGUCCGAAUACUUUUAGUUUUCGCACUCUAACUUUAGUAAAAGUGAAUAGAAAUCAAUGAAAUUUUAACACAAGGUUUAUGACCACAAAAGGAAGGUUGGGAUUGAUUUUGGGAGUUUUGGUCCCAACAUUUUAGGAAUUAGGGGCCAAAAAGGGCCCAAAUAAGCAUUUUCUUGGUUUUCGCACUAUAACUUAAGUUUAAGUGAAUAGAAAUCUAUGAAAUUUUGACACAAGGUUUAUGACCACAAAAGGAAGGUUGGGAUUGAUUUUGGGAGUUUUGGUUCCAACAGUUUAGGAAUUAAGGGCCCAAAUAAGCAUUUUCUGGUUUUCGCACAAUAACUUUAGUAUAAGUAUAUAGAAAUCAAUGAAAUUUUAACACAAGGUUUAUGACCACAAAAGGAAGGUUGGG